This 704-nucleotide ribosomal RNA is filed under the name Opisthioglyphe ranae. RNAcentral's name for it is "SSU rRNA". It matches the Rfam family "Eukaryotic small subunit ribosomal RNA", at positions 152 to 753 of the family's 1831-position model. The record is from RNAcentral. Lineage: Eukaryota; Metazoa; Platyhelminthes; Trematoda; Plagiorchiida; Telorchiidae.
GUAAUUCUAGAGCUAAUACAUGCCACUAUGCCCUGACCCGCAAGGGAACGGGUGGAUUUAUUAGAACAGAACCAACCGGUUGUGGCUUCGGCUGCUUCCGUUGCACUCUGUGAUGACUCUGGAUAACUUCACUGAUCGCAGUCGGCCUUGUGUCGGCGACGGAUCUUUCAAAUGUCUGCCCUAUCAAUUUUCGAUGGUAGGUGACCUGCCUACCAUGGUGAUAACGGGUAACGGGGAAUCAGGGUUCGAUUCCGGAGAGGGAGCCUGAGAAACGGCUACCACUUCCAAGGAAGGCAGCAGGCACGCAAACUACCCAAUCCCGGCACGGGGAGGUGGUGACGAAAAAUACGGAUACGGGACUCGUAUGAGGCUCCGUAAUUCGAAUGAGUACAAUUUAAAUCCUUUAACGAGGAUCAACUGGAGGGCAAGUCUGGUGCCAGCAGCCGCGGUAACUCCAGCUCCAGAAGCGUAUAUUAAAGUUGUUGCAGUUAAAAAGCUCGUAGUUGGAUCUGGGUCGUAUGGCUACGUGCCGUUGCUCGCAUUCUCGGCUUGGUUUCGACUAGGUCAAGUUUGUGGGUCGGUGUCGUGGCUGUGCAGCCUUUCUGCCGUGUCUGUUUCGACAGGUGCUGACUUAAUCGAUGGGCUUGUCUCGUUGGUUGGUUGGCAUGCUUCCAGAUGCCUUUAAACGGGUGUCGGGGGCGGAC